Molecule: ribosomal RNA, 513 nt
Filed under: Escherichia coli
Lineage: Bacteria; Pseudomonadati; Pseudomonadota; Gammaproteobacteria; Enterobacterales; Enterobacteriaceae
Description: partial 23S ribosomal RNA
Rfam family: Bacterial large subunit ribosomal RNA
Source: RNAcentral
UCCUCCUAAAGAGUAACGGAGGAGCACGAAGGUUGGCUAAUCCUGGUCGGACAUCAGGAGGUUAGUGCAAUGGCAUAAGCCAGCUUGACUGCGAGCGUGACGGCGCGAGCAGGUGCGAAAGCAGGUCAUAGUGAUCCGGUGGUUCUGAAUGGAAGGGCCAUCGCUCAACGGAUAAAAGGUACUCCGGGGAUAACAGGCUGAUACCGCCCAAGAGUUCAUAUCGACGGCGGUGUUUGGCACCUCGAUGUCGGCUCAUCACAUCCUGGGGCUGAAGUAGGUCCCAAGGGUAUGGCUGUUCGCCAUUUAAAGUGGUACGCGAGCUGGGUUUAGAACGUCGUGAGACAGUUCGGUCCCUAUCUGCCGUGGGCGCUGGAGAACUGAGGGGGGCUGCUCCUAGUACGAGAGGACCGGAGUGGACGCAUCACUGGUGUUCGGGUUGUCAUGCCAAUGGCACUGCCCGGUAGCUAAAUGCGGAAGAGAUAAGUGCUGAAAGCAUCUAAGCACGAAACUUGC